AUCUGGACGGCGGAAUUCAGGAUGGCUGGCGCGUCUUCGCGACGCGUCGGUCGUUUGAUAUUUCCGUCGUCGACACGCAGACGUCGCGACCUGCUCGCGGUCGGUCGAGGAGCCGCGUUCGAGUUCGUUGUGUGCGCGUUUCGGCGUGCCACGCGGCGAAGGCGCGGAUCUCUGGCUGGCCGUCGGACAGUAUGCUCAACGGUGUCCGGUGUCGCCAUAGCGCGCGCACCGGUACCGGUCAGCGACGAGUUCUUCGGGCCUCUUUCCGACCCGUCUUGAAACACGGACCAAGGAGUCUAACAUGCGCGCGAGUCGCGGGGUGUCGAGCGUACUUCGGUGCGUUCGUUACGUUGCGAAACCCGUACAUGUCGAAGGCGUAAUGAAAGUGAAUGGGGAAGAUGGUGUUCCGAGUACACGUUCCGCGAUCGUCGGUAUCGCGGCCGGACACCCGCAUUCCCGGGGCGUCUCAACGGCCCGUCGCUGAUGCGGACCGUCGUCUUUCGGGGCGGCGGUCGGUCGGCGAUGAACCGA
RNAcentral lists this ribosomal RNA (531 nucleotides) under Acutaspis albopicta. Its description in RNAcentral is "eukaryotic LSU rRNA". The record is from RNAcentral. Lineage: Eukaryota; Metazoa; Arthropoda; Insecta; Hemiptera; Diaspididae.